This is a non-coding RNA of Acanthosepion pharaonis, 96 nucleotides long. The record is from the annotation of a GenBank genome assembly. NCBI's taxonomy places the organism in Eukaryota, Metazoa, Mollusca, Cephalopoda, Sepiida, Sepiidae.
AUUGAAACACCAGUUCCCAUAUGAUCCCCAAGGAUAAGCAACAUUGAGCCUGGUCAUUACCUAGAUGGGUAACCACUUGGGAAUACCAUGUGCUAU